GAUGAACGCUGGCGGCGUGCCUAAUACAUGCAAGUCGAGCGGACGGACGAGAAGCUUGCUUUUCUGAUGUUAGCGGCGGACGGGUGAGUAACACGUGGAUAACCUACCUAUAAGACUGGGAUAACUUCGGGAAACCGGAGCUAAUACCGGAUAAUAUUUUGAACCGCAUGGUUCAAAAGUGAAAGACGGUCUUGCUGUCACUUAUAGAUGGAUCCGCGCUGCAUUAGCUAGUUGGUAAGGUAACGGCUUACCAAGGCAACGAUGCAUAGCCGACCUGACAGGGUGAUCGGCCACACUGGAACUGAGACACGGUCCAGACUCCUACGGGAGGCAGCAGUAGGGAAUCUUCCGCAAUGGGCGAAAGCCUGACGGAGCAACGCCGCGUGAGUGAUGAAGGUCUUCGGAUCGUAAAACUCUGUUAUUAGGGAAGAACAUAUGUGUAAGUAACUGUGCACAUAUUGACGGUACCUAAUCAGAAAGCCACGGCUAACUACGUG
RNAcentral lists this ribosomal RNA (497 nucleotides) under uncultured bacterium. Its description in RNAcentral is "partial 16S ribosomal RNA". It matches the Rfam family "Bacterial small subunit ribosomal RNA", at positions 28 to 507 of the family's 1533-position model. The record is from RNAcentral.